CGGCGGCGGGACUGGCCCUGCGCCCGGGCACCGCCUGCGCUGCGCCGCCCGGCCUCACUCCGCGGCCCGCCAGGACCCGGCCCCGGUGAACGGGCUCGGGGUGCCGAGGUCCGGCUGCGGGGCCGGGAAGCCACCUCCACCUUGCCGUCUGUUACGACCCCCGAGGCGCAAGGCUGAGCCCCAUCUCGCUAUCCGGGUCCGGAGGGGUUCACCUUAGAAGGAUUUUUUGAAGCUCUUGGCGCUGGCUCUAAAAGAACCCACUUCCUUGCGGAUUUCAGGAGUCAAGAAUCCUUAAACGGAGCCAAUUUGCUUUGUAAAGCCAAUUGCCCAAGUGACUUGAGUUCGAAAGGAGAUACUUCCUGGACAACUGCUAUAAAAACAACAACAAAUACUUUUAUUAAUUCGGGGAGCCUGGUCACCAACUGGAUGCUCAGGGGAGAUGGAACCCUGAGCAGCCCAUGUACAUGGAAGAUCUUUAUUGCAGAGAUCUUCAAACCAGGAAACUGAGGCUAAAGAGUUUAGUAUUCUGCCAAGGCCAGCUAAUAGUUACAGAGCAUGGUUCCAAAUUCAGAGCUGUCGGAAGCUUAAGCCCAUGUGAUGAACCACGAAUGUGAUUUUACCUCAUUUAAGCCUUGCAGCAAACUCUGCCAAGCUGUCUCUACCAGGCCAGAAUUUGGGGCAGGCAAGAUUUUCAGCAUCCCUAAAAUCACACUAAGAAGAUAAACAUGGAAACAGCUUGGAGCUGCCCUACCCAUAGUGAGGUGGUACUGACUGGAAGACAGCUUAAACGAUUUGGAGAAAAGUGGAAUACAUUAAUCUCAGAAAACUCUACCACCUGUAGAAAGAGAGCUAAAAUGGAGACAACCACAGGCAGUCUAAGAUACGCUGAACUACUACAGAAAAUAAUGCAGCAUGAAGGAAUGCUGGAAGGAUCUUCUAAGGGUGUGAGGAUACAGGC
This 958-nucleotide long non-coding RNA is filed under the name Homo sapiens (human). RNAcentral describes it as "non-protein coding BAALC-AS1:2". The record is from RNAcentral. Lineage: Eukaryota; Metazoa; Chordata; Mammalia; Primates; Hominidae.